UUUCCACAGUCUUAUUCAUCUUCAGAUCAUUCAUUCUUCCUUUUUUCUUCCCAAAUCAGGAUUAGGAUCCUAACAAUUUAAUACUAUGGUUUUUAACUAUUUUGCUACUCUAAUCUUUUGCAAUCCUCUUAGUUCUUACUAAUCUCACACUGUAGGCCCUCAUUUUCUUUUUUGUUUUUACAAAUUUGAUUUGAAUAUUGUCGCAAUGGUUUUUAACUAUUAGAAUUGCAAUAUGGUGUUGUAAACUUCUUCUUUAGAAAAAGAUUGAAUGAAAAUUUUUCGACGAACCAUGGAACAAUGCCAACAAUUUUGAGUUUAUUUUGUUUUUCAGCAAGUUCGCAUAGAAAAUUAACAAAGAAGCAUGAAGAGACAAAUAACAAAUUGAUAGACGAAUGAUACAUAAAAUUGCAGGAUACUCUUAAGAAAGAAGAU
RNAcentral lists this long non-coding RNA (432 nucleotides) under Carica papaya (papaya). RNAcentral describes it as "long non-coding RNA (CPAP_LNC000998)". The record is from RNAcentral. Lineage: Eukaryota; Viridiplantae; Streptophyta; Magnoliopsida; Brassicales; Caricaceae.